UACGUAGGGGGCUAGCGUUGUCCGGAUUUAUUGGGUGUAAAGCGCGUGUAGGCGGCCGGCUAGGUCUGGUGUGAAAACUCGAGGCUCAACCUCGAGAUGUCGCCGGAAACCAGUCGGCUAGAGUCCGGAAGAGGAGAGUGGAAUUCCUGGUGUAGCGGUGAAAUGCGCAGAUAUCAGGAAGAACACCUAUGGCGAAAGCAGCUCUCUGGGACGGUACUGACGCUGAGACGCGAAAGCGUGGGGAGCGAACAGG
RNAcentral lists this ribosomal RNA (253 nucleotides) under uncultured bacterium. RNAcentral describes it as "partial 16S ribosomal RNA". It matches the Rfam family "Bacterial small subunit ribosomal RNA", at positions 524 to 776 of the family's 1533-position model. The record is from RNAcentral.